ACCCGCACAAGCGGUGAUGAUGUGGUUUAAUUCGAUGCAACGCGAAAACCUUACCCACCUUUGACAUGGCAGGAAUCCUGAAGAGAUUUGGGAGUGCUCGAAAGAGAACCUGCACACAGGUGCUGCAUGGCUGUCGUCAGCUCGUGUCGUGAGAUGUUGGGUUAAGUCCCGCAACGAGCGCAACCCUUGCCAUUAGUUGCUACGAAAGGGCACUCUAAUGGGACUGCCGGUGACAAACCGGAGGAAGGUGGGGAUGACGUCAAGUCCUCAUGGCCCUUAUAGGUGGGGCUACACACGUCAUACAAUGGCCGGUACAGAGGGUAGCCAACCCGCGAGGGGGAGCCAAUCCCACAAAGCCGGUCGUAGUCCGGAUCGCAGUCUGCAACUCGACUGCGUGAAGUCGGAAUCGCUAGUAAUCGCGGAUCAGCAUGUCGCGGUGAAUACGUUCCCGGGUCUUGU
This 459-nucleotide ribosomal RNA is filed under the name uncultured Allobrachymonas sp. RNAcentral describes it as "bacterial SSU rRNA". It matches the Rfam family "Bacterial small subunit ribosomal RNA", at positions 919 to 1384 of the family's 1533-position model. The record is from RNAcentral. Lineage: Bacteria; Pseudomonadati; Pseudomonadota; Betaproteobacteria; Burkholderiales; Comamonadaceae.